UUUCCGUAGGUGAACCUGCGGAAGGAUCAUUGUCGAAACCUGCUCGAACGGAACGAUCUGCGAACCGGUGCGAAUAAACUUGCGGGAGGAGGGCACAAAACCCCUCUUCCAUCGCGACCGAGGCGAAUCCGGUGCUCGCGCUCCGGACUCUAGCCCUCGGCAGCGAAUAACACAAACCCGGCGCGAAUUGCGCCAAGGACUCCAAUUGAAUGAUACGCGCUGCCCACGCCCGGGAUUCGGUAUCGUGAGGCGGCGUUGAUGUCGUCGUAUAUAGUAUUCUUAACGACUCUCGGCAACGGAUAUCUCGGCUCUCGCAUCGAUGAAGAACGUAGCGAAAUGCGAUACUUGGUGUGAAUUGCAGAAUCCCGUGAACCAUCGAGUCUUUGAACGCAAGUUGCGCCCGAAGCCAUCAGGUUGAGGGCACGCUUGCCUGGGUGUCACACAAUGUCGCCGUCGUGCCUCGCAUCGUCGGCGGAGAAUGGGCUCCCGUGAACUUCAGCGUCGCGGUUGUCCCAAAGGAACGAGCCACGGCAAAGUGCAGCCACGGCAUUCGGUGGAAAGAGGCGCAACAGUUGCUUUCAAAACACCGCCGUGCGCGCGCUUCGCUGUUCGGACGCGAACGACCCCGAGAUGGCAUCGACUAUCUCUCAGUAUGCGACCCCAGGUCAGGCGGGAACACCCGCUGAGUUUAAG
RNAcentral lists this ribosomal RNA (693 nucleotides) under Tripterococcus brunonis. Its description in RNAcentral is "eukaryotic LSU rRNA". The stretch from base 285 to 440 matches the Rfam family "5.8S ribosomal RNA". Lineage: Eukaryota; Viridiplantae; Streptophyta; Magnoliopsida; Celastrales; Celastraceae. The record is from RNAcentral.